GACACUCACUGUUCUAGAAAGUGGCA
RNAcentral lists this non-coding RNA (26 nucleotides) under Rattus norvegicus (Norway rat). The record is from RNAcentral. Lineage: Eukaryota; Metazoa; Chordata; Mammalia; Rodentia; Muridae.